Molecule: long non-coding RNA, 199 nt
Filed under: Meriones unguiculatus (Mongolian gerbil)
Lineage: Eukaryota; Metazoa; Chordata; Mammalia; Rodentia; Muridae
Description: DAOA antisense RNA 1 conserved region 1 (ENSMUGG00000001374.1)
Rfam family: DAOA antisense RNA 1 conserved region 1
Source: RNAcentral
GGAGCUUAUUUUAAGUACGAGGGGUUUUAUGCAAACUUUGGAAUUCCUUUUUGCUUCAUAUGUGAAGAUGUGUAUGGCUGUGCAUUCAUUAUGGUGGGAGAUGAUAAAGGUUCACAGUUGCAUUAAAACUAAACACAAUGGAGGCAGCUGCUGUGAGCUAGACUAUUCCAGCUUUAUCCUGAUAUAUGAAAUGGAAAGU